GAUACAUUCUAUUUUUAAACCUCAUCAAUUUCAUUAAGAAUAGGAUCACAAUUAUGGUUAACACACACAUGUUCCAGAAACACUUCCACGUGCUUUACCUGUAGUAACUGUUUUAAAUUCUCAGGUGAGGAAUUUGACCACCCUCAUUUAACUAGCAAGUGGCAGAGUCAGAACUUGAGCAAAACAUUUUGGCUCUGCAGUCUGUGCUUUGAACCUUAAGGCUGUACUGACCAGGUUGCCUUAUCACACUCUUCUGCAACACCAUUUUUAGGUACUACUCAGCAUUCCAUUGCUUGGAUAAAUAAUAAUUACUUCAUAAAUCUCCUAUGAGUGGACAUCUAGCCCAUUGGUAUUUUCUCCCUACUAAGCAAUGUUAAGCUCUACCACCCUGAAAGCGCCCGAUCCCAUCCAAGCAAUGUUGAGCUGAAUCUAAUUAGAGCCCAUUUUUGUGCCAUCUGAUGAUCUCCCUAAAUUAAGGAUGUGCAUUUUUACCAUGGCUACUUAGAGGUGUUAUGUAGCACUCCCCACCCUCCUGCAUCUAGGGCAGGCCUCAAACAAGGCUGCAGCUCCAUCUUGCUCUGACAUUUCUCCACUGGCACCCACCAAGGUGUUACAUUUCCUGUCUUGAGGUUUCACAUCCUGCCCCUUAAACCACCCACAGUGCUCCACCCUUUGGGGUUCCGUAGGAAACAUCUCACACAAACACUCACUGAGCCAUGUGUCUCAGGCCAACAAACUUCUAAUCUAGCAGUGGGGGAAUACAGGGGUAACAAAUUACAUCAAUUACAAGUUGAUAUCACUAACUGAUGCUGGCUGGAAGCAUUUCUCAGCUUUCCUGGCACUGCCACUUUUAUCUCCUUUCAAUGACUCUCCAUUUCCUGACUUUACACUGUCCUUUUUCUUAGGUUGAACCACAAGGACCUGCUGACCUACAAAACCACUUGACCUACAAAAAUGGAAAUUUCACCUGGUUCCAUCUAACAAGGCUGAGAUGUUUAUUUCCCCAGUGGAGAACAUGGCAACAAUUUGUCAUGCUGGGAAGCUAUUCAAACAUCUGUUAAACCUUUCCUAUAUUGAGGGAAAUGUCCACCUUUUAAAUCCUGGUUUCCAGAGCAUUAUGCCAGAAACUCACUUUCCCUGACUUCCUUGAGACUAAAAUAAAUGAAUGUGCCCCUGUUUCCUCCAGUCAGAUGCAAGAUUUUUGAUGCAGCAGAGAACAACAGGAAGAGCUAUUCUGCCUUUGAAGAGAGGUGGGGGCUGAAAUGGGGAGAAAAAUCUAGGGUGCUUUAAAGUUCUAUUUCCUCACCAGGAUGGCUGAUUAUAUGAAAGCUUGCUAUGUAAUAAUUCUUUUAGAUUUUGUGCAUUUUUUGCAUGGGUGCUAUUCUUUCUUUCUUUCUUUCUUUUUGUCUUUUUAUAUUUUUAGAGCCGCACCAGCAGCACAUGGAGAUUCCCAGGCUAGGGGUCUAAUCGGAGCUAUAUCCUCCGGACUAUACCGUAGCUCACAGCAAUGCCGGAUCCUUAACCCACUGAGUGAGGCCAGGGAUUGAACCCACAACCUCAUGGUUCCUAGUCAGAUUCGUUUCUGCUACACCAUGAUGGGAACUCCCUGCAUGGGUGCUAUUCUUUUUUUAAAAAAAAUUUUAUUAUAGUGGAUUUACAAUGUUGUGUCAAUUUCUGCUGUACAGCAAAGUAACCCAAUUACACAUAUAUACAUAUACAUUCUUAUUUUCACAUUAUCAUCCACCAUGUUCUAUCACAAGUGAUCAGAUAUACUUCCUUGGGCUAUACAGCAGAAUCUCAUUGCUUAUCCAUUCCAAAUGCAACCCAUGUUCAUUGCAGUACUAUUCACAAUAGCCAAGAUGUGGAAACAACCGAAAUGUCCAUUGACAUGAAAAAAUUAAGAAGAUGUGGUCCAUGUAUACAAUGGAAUACUACUCAGCCAUAAAAAAGAAUGAAAUAACAGCAUUUGCAACAACAUGGUUGCAACUAGAGAUUCUCAUACUAAGUGAAAGAAGUCAGAAAGAGAAGAACAAAUAUCAUAGGAUAUCACUUUUAUGUGGAAUCUAAAAUAUGGCACAAACGAACCUAUCUACAAAGGAGAAACAGACUCACAGACACAGAGAACAGACUUGUGGUUGCCAAGGGGGAGGGGGAGGGGGAGGAAGUGGAAUGGAGUGGGGGUUUGGGGUUAAAAAAUGCAAACUGUUACAUUUAGAAUGGAUAAGCUAUGAGGUCCUGCUGUGUAGCACAGGGAACUAUAUCCAAUCACUUGUGAUAGAACAUGAUGAAAGGUAAUAUGAGAACAAGAAUGUAGGAGUUCCUGUUGUGGCACAGUGGAAAUGAAUCCAACUAGUAUCCAUAAAGAUGAGGAUCAGUGGGUCAGGGAUCUGGUGUUGCCAUGAGCUAUGGUGCAGGUCUCAGACACAGCUCGGAUCCUGAGUUGCUGUGGCUGUAGCAUAGGACUAUAGCUGUAGCUCUGAUUUGACCCCUAGCCUGGGAACUUCCAUAUGCCAAAGGUGUGGCCCUAAAAAGCAAAAAUAAUAAUAACAAUGUGUGUGUGUGUUUUAUAUAUAUAUAUGACUUGGUCAUUAUGCUACACAGCAGAAAUUAGCACAGCACUGUAAAUCAACUACACUUUAACCAAAAAAAUUUUUAAAAGACUGGUUGGGACCCCUGACACUCCAACCUGGCAUGCACAGGUAUUCACUCAGUGACCUUUUGAAAUGACAAGGCCAAAAACUGCAUCCUCAGAUUGUGCUAAAUGCCUCCAUUUUUUAACAUAUGGAGGCCUGUAGUGUAGUUACAUGUGCGUGGAACACAAGUACCAUAGCUUUUCUCAAUUACCUUUUCUCACACUCCCUGUGCCUCAGACUGUCCUGCUUUCUUUUUUCCCCAGGCCCUGGCCUCCAGGGAGGCAGAUGUGAGAUUUGUUCUCCCAUCUCCAUGGUUGGCUGCCUGGUGAAUAAAUGCUUUCUUUGCUGCAAACCCUGGUGGCUCAGAGCUUUGGCCUUCAAAACUUAGUUUGCUAACACUCUAAUCGACUAUUUUUACCUCCUCUGAAAAUCAUAAAUUUUCCUACAUUAAUCCCCACUAUUUUUCCUUCCCUCACUGCACCCCAGAAAAUACAUGUGGACACACCAUCACCACCGCAACCCAGGAUACCCAGGAAUGUGUAAAAGUUGUGACACACUCAAGUGUCACUGGAAGGUAACCUUCCCGGGCAGAGAUGUUUGUCUCGUGUUCAGUUGCUCCAUCACAGCAUCUAGAAUGGUGCCCAGCGCAUAUUAAGUACCCAGUCGAAAUCUGUAAAAUGAGCAAGUACCCUGCCCUCAAAUGCUUUUGUCUGUUUGUUCAUCCAUCAAAGAACCAGUGCUUUUGGAGAGUGACAUGCUGGUAAAGGCUCUGGGCUGCGUGUAGGGGAUGUCAACGUGCUUAAGGCACAGGUCUGCCCAUGAACAAUUCGGAAUGAACCGCUUACUCCAGAAAUAUUGCUACCAACCCUCAGAAUAUAUUUUGUCAUCUCUAUAAGCCCACCUGGAACUUCUCUUAAUGAAGAUGAGGGACAGUGCAGGUAGGAGGGGUGGUGUUUUGUUUAGUUUAGUUUAGUUUUGUUUUGUUUUAAUCAAGAAGGAAUGGGAGUUCCUGUCGUGGCGCAGUGGUUAACGAAUCCGACUAGGAACCAUGAGGUCGCAGGUUCGGUCCCUGCCCUUGCUCGGUGGGUUAACGAUCCAGCGUUGCUAUGGCUCUGGCGUAGGCCGGUGGUUACAGCUCCGAUUAGACCCCUAGCCAGGGAACCUCCAUAUGCCAAGGGAGCAGCCCUAGAAAAGUCAAAAAGACAAAAAAAAAAAAAAAGAAGGAAUGAAGGAAUGUCUUCCCUCCAUUGAUCUCAGUUUCAGGCCAGACAGGAAGGAAGUAGCAAUAAUGCAGGAUGGUGGAUGAGAUAGUCAGGAAUGUACCCAUGUGUUUGGUCUAUGCUAGUGCCUUGACUCAAUGGUUGCGAACCAACUUUGACUAUGAGUAAGGCAAUAUCAGGGGCAGGGGGUGACCAGUAAUCAGACCUUUUCACACUCGCCAGUGGCUUUUCUGCCUGCUGUAUGAUCUGGCCUCUAUAUGGUCCUCACCCCUGUAUGAUUUGGCCUUGCCUGCAUCUCUGACCACCCUCAGACCUCCUCCUCACCAACUCUAUGCCCUCCAACAUUAAGCUUGUCCCACCUGUGGUCCAUUCUUCAAUCAGUCCCUCUUCUAGAAUGUUCUCUCCACUGAUGUUGUUUUUAUUGGUUCCUUUUGUAUCAUUGAAAAUCAACUUAAAUGAGUUCCCUUGGCCACCCAAACAAAGGUAGUCCUUUCACCAUUUCUUUCCGUGUGUGGCAAUUUGGGAUGUUUUCAUAUCUGGCAUUUUUCUUGUGUUUAUCGUUCAUCCUCCAUCUUCUUCCCUUCUCCCUUAUUUCCUUCCUUCUCUCUCUCUCUUUUUGUCUACCUUCUCCACUAGAUUCUUAGCUCCAUGAAAACAAAAGCUUUUUGGAUCCAAUUCACUGGAGUCCAAGACAAUGCUUCACAUGCAACAGACACACAAUACACAUUUGCUUAAAGGAAACAUUUAUCUAGAUCUUUGAAAGCUGAGGCUGACAUCACUCCCUUCCAGGAUAGACUAUUACAUGCCAUGUGUUGAGCAAUUUUGGCAGAAUUUUCACAGUCUCAUGGAAACCACAUGUAAGGUAAAAUCUAAGCUUCCUGAGAAAAGUAUGUAUUGAUAUUAUGAUCUGGGCCAUCACUGGCUAACGGAAUGUGAAAAUAAGUGGCCCAUAUAAGGUAAUGGCUAAAAUUCAAGGUGACUAAGAAAUAAGUCAGCAUUACAUUAUUCGGAGCAUUGAAUAUAUCCUUUGUUAAUGUGAAAAUUUUUAAAGUUUGAUGUCCUUCAGACACAGCUCAGGGAACAAUCAUCAAAUAAACAUGCUCCCCUUUCUAAAUGUUCUCCCACACUCUGCUGCACUUAACCCUCAUAGCAGUCCUCGAGAAGGGCCUAUUCCUCAUCACCAUUUUGCAGAUGAAAAAACUAAGCUUAGUGAAAUCAAGCAAUUUGCUCAAAGAUACAGAGCCAAGCCUACCUUCAGAGCAAUUAGGAAUUGUUACCAGGGUUAGAAAUGAGCAACAAGGAGUUCCCAUUGUGGCUCAGUGGGUUAAGAACCCAACGUGGUGAUCAUGAGGAUAUGGGUCUGCAGCUUUGAUUUGACCCCAAGCCCAGGAACUUCCAUAUGCCACAGGUAAGGUUGUAAAAGAAAAAAAGAUAGAAAGAAAUAAAUGAGCAAGAAUAAUAAAGCAUGUGGGUUAAGAGGAAUCCUUGAGACAUUUUUUUUAAUUGCUUUUUUUUUUUGGUUUACAGCACAACUCCAGAAAAAAAUUCUAAGCCACUCCAAGGUCAGAAGACGAUGACUCUGUUCCCAGCUCUGCAGCCAACCAGCUGUGCAGCUAUGACAGUGAAUGAGUCUUUCGAGAUUAUAGAUGAGAAAGACCACAGACGGUAUGAAAGAGUCUAUUUGGCUCAAGAUAUUUUUCAGCAAAAUGCUCAGACUCUAAAAGCUCCUGGUGCAUUCCUGGUUGCUUUUAAAACAUCAGCCUAAUCAAACCAACAGCAGCUAAGUGAGAGAGAAAAAGAGUCUGAGAUACUUACAAGAUGAUUUGGCAAUAAAUAACAGAAAAGACCUAGAAGAAUAUUAUUCUGCUGUUAAAGUUAUUCUGAGGCCAUUUUGCACAGAAUUUUUUAAACAUUAGGUAAUUUUUUAAACAUUCGCAUAUAGUUAUAAAAGCAUUGGGUAGAAAGAAUUCACAUUCUAAUUGUUUCCAAAGUGUCAUGUUCAACAUUGGGUAGGACACACAAAAGAUGCCAAGAGAGCAUUUGCCUUGCCAGUGAGAUUAGUAGAACCAACACAGGAAACCAUCCAUCCAAAGAGUCAUCCCAAUCAUCACAAUAAUGAAUUAAUAACUUGAAAGUUUAUAUUUUCUGAAAGCUUCUGCUUAAGUCAGAGAGUCAUCAGAGCUUUAUUUCCAGAACAAUGGAACAGGGAACUUUGUUUUCCUUCUGGCCAGGCUAAAUGGGGCGGUUCUCAGGAUCUUAGAUUCACAGAUUAUUUUUAUGAGGGCUUAAGAAAGAGAAACAAGGAGUUCCCAUUGUGGCACAGUGGUUAACGAAUCUGACUAGGAACCAUGAGGUAGCGGGUUCAAUCCCUGCCCUUGCUCAGUGGGUUGACAAUCUGGUAUUGCCGUGAGCUGUGGUGUAGGCUGCAGACGUGGCUCGGAUCCCGCGUUGCUCUGGCGUAGGCCAGCAGCUAUAGCUCCGAUUAGACCCC
RNAcentral lists this long non-coding RNA (6344 nucleotides) under Sus scrofa (pig). Its description in RNAcentral is "lncRNA (ENSSSCG00030037997.1)". The record is from RNAcentral. Lineage: Eukaryota; Metazoa; Chordata; Mammalia; Artiodactyla; Suidae.